This 492-nucleotide ribosomal RNA is filed under the name uncultured bacterium. Its description in RNAcentral is "partial 16S ribosomal RNA". It matches the Rfam family "Bacterial small subunit ribosomal RNA", at positions 29 to 507 of the family's 1533-position model. The record is from RNAcentral.
AGUGAACGCUGGCGGUAGGCCUAACACAUGCAAGUCGAACGGCAGCACAGUAAGAGCUUGCUCUUACGGGUGGCGAGUGGCGGACGGGUGAGGAAUACAUCGGAAUCUACUUUUUCGUGGGGGAUAACGUAGGGAAACUUACGCUAAUACCGCAUACGACCUACGGGUGAAAGCAGGGGAUCUUCGGACCUUGCGCGAUUGAAUGAGCCGAUGGCGGAUUAGCUAGUUGGCGGGGUAAAGGCCCACCAAGGCGACGAUCCGUAGCUGGUCUGAGAGGAUGAUCAGCCACACUGGAAGUGAGACACGAUCGAGACUCGUACGGGAGGCAGCAGUGGGGAAUAUUGGACAAUGGGCGCAAGCCUGAUCCAGCCAUACCGCGUGGGUGAAGAAGGCCUUCGGGUUGUAAAGCCCUUUUGUUGGGAAAGAAAAGCAGCAGGUUAAUACCCCGCUGUUCUGACGGUACCCAAAGAAUAAGCACCGGCUAACUUCGUG